GAUAAGUCAGACGAGUCUUUGGAGAACAAUGAGAGUUGAAAACAAACUCACAAAGUAAUCAGAUUUCAUAUAAAGUUUAAAAGUAUAUUGUCUAACCCCAAAAUGAUUACAAAACAACUAUUUAUAAUAUAAAUUCCUAAGGUAGUCGAAUGGCUAAUAAGAUGCUGAAUGGUCAGCCAAAAUUAAAACAAAAGAGGCUGGAAAUUUCCAGCAACCUUCCUAGGACAUUUUUGGGAAGCUUCAUGCAUGAAGAAUUCAAUUGGGCAGCUUCUAGAUGGAGUCCAUUCAGCUGGACAUUAAUGGAAGUAUUGGUGAGCUGAAUAAGAGGUCUUGGUUCGGCCAAUGAAGUUGAAUGCACCUUAAUGAAGCCUCCUUGUGAGCUGAACAGCUUGCCCAUUUUUAAUGACGUUUUGGGGAUCUCCAACAACCCAUGGUGUGAACAUCAAAUAGGAACAGCCUUGUGUGUGUGAACUCAUGAAACUGAA
RNAcentral lists this long non-coding RNA (485 nucleotides) under Gossypium barbadense (sea-island cotton). RNAcentral's name for it is "long non-coding RNA (GBAR_LNC007212)". Lineage: Eukaryota; Viridiplantae; Streptophyta; Magnoliopsida; Malvales; Malvaceae. The record is from RNAcentral.